AACGAACGCUGGCGGCAUGCCUAACACAUGCAAGUCGAACGAGACCUUCGGGUCUAGUGGCGCACGGGUGCGUAACGCGGGGGAACCUGCCCUUAGGUUCGGAAUAACUCCCCGAAAGGGGUGCUAAUACCAGUGAAUGUCUUCCGACCAAAGAUUUAUGGCAUUGGGGUGGGCCCGCGUUGGAUUAGCUAGUUGGUAGGGUAAAAGCCUGCCAAGACGAGGAUCCAUAGCUGGUGUGUGAGGAUGAUCAGCCACACUGGACUGCGACACGGCCCAGACUCCUACGGAAGGCAGCAGUGGGGAAUAUUGGACAAGGGGCGAAAGCCUGAUCCAGCAAUGCGGCGUAAGUGAUGAAGGCCUUAGGGUUGUAAAGCUCUUUUACCCGGGAUGAUAAUGACAGUACCGGGAGAAUAAGCACCGGCUAACUACGUG
RNAcentral lists this ribosomal RNA (432 nucleotides) under uncultured bacterium. RNAcentral's name for it is "partial 16S ribosomal RNA". It matches the Rfam family "Bacterial small subunit ribosomal RNA", at positions 29 to 507 of the family's 1533-position model. The record is from RNAcentral.